Long non-coding RNA from Lathyrus oleraceus (garden pea), 526 nucleotides. RefSeq lists it as uncharacterized. The record is from RefSeq and is a predicted model, not a curated record. The transcript has 2 exons. NCBI's taxonomy places the organism in Eukaryota, Viridiplantae, Streptophyta, Magnoliopsida, Fabales, Fabaceae.
CGACUCAUCCAUCCUUAAGAUCUCUUCAUGGCCACCCAUAAAAAGAAGAUUGGGGAGUGGGUUGAUCAUCGUUAAAAGAUAACACAUAUACACAUUGCAACAAGGAACUCGAGAGCCCAGCCAAUGAAACUGCUAGAGGUAACGUUGUUGAUGCACGUGUAGAGGCUGCAACACCUAACGAACGGUCAAGGAUGUUAGAAAAGAAGUUUUAAGAAUUUUAAAGACAAAUGGUGGCUAUGAUGGCGAUUUCUUCUACUGCCCUUCUUAGUAUCCAUCCUUAUUACGAUGCUGAAUUUGGCGAUCACUCGAUGAUCAAAAACAAAGAUGAGUGAUGGAUUUGAUGGUUUGUUUUAUAUUUGAUAUAUUUUGAUGGUUAUUGAUUAUAGACAAUAUUUUGAUAGUUUAUUUGAAUACCUUGUUUGUUUUGAUGGUUUAUUUGAAGACUUGGUUUAUUUUGAUGGGUGUAGGUUUUCUAAUAUGAAUCCAUAUUUUUAUGGAUUAUAUGAAUAGAUAUGGAUUACUUGAA